CAAGUGAGGGCAUCAGUUAGGGA
This 23-nucleotide non-coding RNA is filed under the name Cricetulus griseus (Chinese hamster). The record is from RNAcentral. Lineage: Eukaryota; Metazoa; Chordata; Mammalia; Rodentia; Cricetidae.